AAUAUUGGUCAAUGGGCGGGAGCCUGAACCAGCCAUGCGGCGUGCGUGACGAAGGCCCUAUGGGUCGGAAACCGCCUUUACACGGGAACAACCGCAUCUACGAGUAGCUGCCUGAGGGUACCGUGGGAAUAAGGAUCGUCUACCUCCGUGCCAGCAGCCGCGGUAAUACGGAGGAUCCAAGCGUUAUCCGGAAUCAUUGGGUUUAAAGGGUCCGUAGGCGGCCUUAUAAGUCAGCGGUGAAAGUUUUUGGCUUAACCAAAAAAUUGCCGUUGAUACUGUAGGGCUUGAAUUUUUGUGAAGUAACUAGAAUAUGUAGUGUAGCGGUGAAAUGCUUAGAUAUUACAUGGAAUACCAAUUGCGAAGGCAGGUUACUAACAAACGAUUGACGCUGAUGGACGAAAGCGUGGGUAGCGAACAG
This 418-nucleotide ribosomal RNA is filed under the name uncultured bacterium. Its description in RNAcentral is "partial 16S ribosomal RNA". It matches the Rfam family "Bacterial small subunit ribosomal RNA", at positions 360 to 775 of the family's 1533-position model. The record is from RNAcentral.